AUGGUGAUGGCGGAGCCGGAGGAGACCCCGAGAUCCCAGAGGCCGUUGGCGGGCGGUUGCGCCGUGGCCGGCGAUCCGUCCCAGCCCGCGGCGGCGACACCUCGGCGGCUGACGGUGUGGUGCAAGUCGCUGGUGUUCCGCGGCGACGGGUACACGGUGUUCGACGACGCGGACGGACGGAUGGUGUUCCGCGUGGACAACUACGGCGUCGGGCCGGGAAGCAUGGCGCUCAUGGACCACGCCGGCCGCGUCCUCCUCACCGUCCGCCGCCGCCAACGCAAGAUGCUGAGCUUGAUGCCGGAGACAUGGGAGGUGUACAAUGGCGACGUCGACGACGACUCGAACUCGAACGACGGCCACGGUGAGCCGCACCUCAUGAUGAGAGCCACCAAGGACCUGGGCAGGUCCAACUGCACCGCCUCUGUGCAUGCCGUGGACGAGCCACAACUCUACCGCUUGAGCUGGUCCCGGCGGGAGGAGUUUUCGAGGAUCUACCGGCACAGCUCGACCGGCGACGAGACGCUCAUCGCCGAGGUGCGGCGGAAACGAGGGGGUCCAGAGAAGGCAACAUUGCUGGGCAAGGACGUGCUCUCGCUGGUGGUGCAGCCGGGGAUGGACCUUGCCAUCACCAUGGCCAUGCUCAUGAUCUCCAAUUCGUACCGAUGA
This 666-nucleotide ribosomal RNA is filed under the name Triticum aestivum (bread wheat). Its description in RNAcentral is "partial small subunit ribosomal RNA". The record is from RNAcentral. Lineage: Eukaryota; Viridiplantae; Streptophyta; Magnoliopsida; Poales; Poaceae.